AUUCCAGCUCCAAUAGCGUAUAUUAAUGUUGUUGCAGUUAAAAAGCUCGUAGUUGGAUUUCUGCGCCGCGCAACUCGGUCCGCUGCACUGCAGUGUGAUGUGUGGUUGGAGCGUCGCAUCCUUGUGGGGACUGUUUGUGUCAUUAAUUUGAUGGAUUCCGGAACCGCAUCGUUUACUGUGAAAAAAUUAGAGUGUUCAAAGCAGGCUUAUGCCGUGAAUACAUUAGCAUGGAAUAAUAAGAUAGGAUCUUGAUACUAUUUUGUUGGUUUGCGUGUCGAGAUAAUGAUGAAUAGGGACAGCUGGGGGUAUUUGUAUUCCAUAGUCAGAGGUGAAAUUCUUGGAUUUAUGGAAGACAAACUAAUGCGAAAGCAUCUACCAAGGAUGUUUUCAUCA
Molecule: ribosomal RNA, 393 nt
Filed under: Eucampia sp.
Lineage: Eukaryota; Bacillariophyta; Thalassiosirophyceae; Eucampiales; Eucampiaceae
Description: partial small subunit ribosomal RNA
Rfam family: Eukaryotic small subunit ribosomal RNA
Source: RNAcentral